UGGGGAGGGGAUGGGUGGGCUGUGCAGGCCCCCAUGGGCUGCCGGGAGGACUUGGGCUUUGGCCCCAGGGAGGUGGGAGCCCUAGAAGGCUCUGUGUGGCAGGGACGCACUGCUUGCUCUCGAGUCCCUGCUGCAGGAGGUGGAUGGUCCAGGAGCCAGACCUGAUGGUGAGGCAGAGCCAAAGGCAGUGACCAGCAGGGAGAGGGAGGAGGCUCCUGAGAGCAAACAGCCACAUCUCCGAGAGCACUGUGUCCUGGGGUUCAUGUGUGACCACCCUGAAGACCAAGUUGGCCUGCAAGUGCCAGAAAAGGCACAGAAGAGGAGCCCCCAGAAUGAUUCAGAUGGUGCCGACAGCUGCAAAGGAUACCAGGAAAUGUCUUCCUUCCUCUCCCUGGUGACCAUGUGUCCAGAUAAAAAUUGUAGAGUCCAAUUGUUAUAGAGCAUGGGACAUGAAGGGCUGUUGGGAGACCCCACCAGAAACGGGUGACCUCGGGGCCACAUCUUAGAUUUCAAGCCAGCACAUCUGAGAAACUCUGCCCCAACUGUGACGGCUUUCACGGAUCCCCAGGGUGCAGGCCUGGCUCAGCUAAGCCCAAGGUUCAGGUCAGUGCCCACAGGCUGGGCCCCCUGCAGCCCCCUAUCCUGCCUCACCCCUGCCUGUCGAGGACCCAGGGCAAUUCAUCUCCUUCUCCUCCAUAAACAACUGUCAGGG
Molecule: long non-coding RNA, 712 nt
Organism: Heterocephalus glaber (naked mole-rat)
Lineage: Eukaryota; Metazoa; Chordata; Mammalia; Rodentia; Bathyergidae
Source: Ensembl